GACCGCGUAGCGCAGUGGAUUAGCGCGUUGGACUUCUAAUCCAAAGGUCAAGGGUUCAAAUCCCUUCUCGGUCG
Dermatophagoides farinae (American house dust mite) is the source of this 74-nucleotide non-coding RNA. The record is from the annotation of a RefSeq genome assembly. NCBI's taxonomy places the organism in Eukaryota, Metazoa, Arthropoda, Arachnida, Sarcoptiformes, Pyroglyphidae.